Molecule: long non-coding RNA, 1157 nt
Organism: Wasmannia auropunctata (little fire ant)
Lineage: Eukaryota; Metazoa; Arthropoda; Insecta; Hymenoptera; Formicidae
Exons: 3
Source: RefSeq, a predicted model, not a curated record
AGAAAGUACGAAAUUUUAAAAGCCAAGCAUGAUUCGAGAUGUGAUUCGAGGUGAUUCGAGAUUUCUUCUCACUGACAGAAAGGAACUCAUAGACAAAUUUGACUUCGUGAUAUUUUAUUACAAUAUCUUUCAUAUGAAGAGAUGAAGAUAAAUAUAGAAAUGUCGAAGUAAAAAUGGAAAGUCGUGUGGCAUUACGUAUAGUAGUAAUGUAGCAAUAACAAUAUACAAGUUUAAACGGAUCCAUUUCUUCUCGUCGUCUCAUCGAUAAGGCGCCCAGUAGAAGAUUUAACGAGCACGAGGUGCAAGGUGCUCGAAUCGGAACUUAACUUACUGGGAAACGUUUGGAAAUUUAUCUCAUCGAUUUUAAUAAGUUUCGAAUAUGCUGCAGAAUUGGUUAAAAAUAAGAGAGAUAUUCAAAGGUCACCAAAAUCGAUGAAAGGAUACUUUCAAACUUUCCUUGCUAGAUCUAAGAAGAGAGAGAAGGAGUCAUUUAAAACUUGCCGUUGAACGAAAUCGAAAGAGAAUAGAGGCGUUCGCUAAUUGAUCGAUCCAAUUUUCAUACGAGGCGUCCCAAUUUCUAUAGAUUUCACGCGUUCUAUAGAUGUUUUGUACGUCGAGUAGAGUCGAAGGGUCAAUCGAAGGGGAACCGCGUCGCGGGAGCAAUGAAUGAGAGAUCAACGUAGAAAAAAUUCGACCGAUUAAAUUAGUAACUUAGAAGGUAAGUGACAAAAAUGCCUUCCUGUGACAUGGCUGUAGAGAAACGUCAUGUCUCCCGUCAGAAUGGGAUAAGAUCGUAGAUAUAGGCGUAAUAAAUGCAGUAUUCAAGACUUGCAGUCUGUGAAAAAAAUCAGAUAUUAUGUCAUAGCCGAUUUUAUCGAAUGACAUAUCAAACUUUAUCGAUAAAAUUGGAGAAUCAUUUAGUAUAAAUUUUAUAGAUUUUGGAAAUAAUUUCUAUAUCUAUUUAAGAUUACUGUCUCUUGCUACUUGAAACUCUUCGCAGAAUGCGAGAUACAAGGUUCGCGAUCCUAUUUCCAGGCCACAGAAUGGCAUCGGUUGCUUCUAAGAUGCUCGACGAUGUCGUCGUUUGCUCGGACGGGGCAGCCGCGAUUGUCAGUUGCCUUUGCUCCAUGUGAUCGAGAGUCUUCUCGAUAGCUCGU